RNAcentral lists this transfer RNA (73 nucleotides) under Candidatus Aenigmatarchaeota archaeon. Its description in RNAcentral is "tRNA-Asp". It matches the Rfam family "tRNA". Rfam says of the family: Transfer RNA (tRNA) molecules are approximately 80 nucleotides in length. The record is from RNAcentral. Lineage: Archaea; Nanobdellati; Candidatus Aenigmatarchaeota.
GCCUUGGUGGUGUAGUGGUCUAGCAUGCGGCCCUGUCACGGCCGCGACUCGGGUUCGAAUCCCGACCAGGGCG